This 280-nucleotide ribosomal RNA is filed under the name uncultured bacterium. RNAcentral describes it as "partial 16S ribosomal RNA". It matches the Rfam family "Bacterial small subunit ribosomal RNA", at positions 29 to 332 of the family's 1533-position model. The record is from RNAcentral.
AACGAACGCUGGCGGCAGGCUUAACACAUGCAAGUCGAACGGGUGUAGCAAUACAUCAGUGGCAGACGGGUGAGUAACACGUGGGAACCUUCCUUAAGGUACGGGACAACUCAGGGAAACUUGAGCUAAUACCGUAUACGUCCGAGAGGAGAAAGAUUUAUCGCCUUUAGACGGGCCCGCGUCGGAUUAGCUAGUUGGUGGGGUAACGGCCGUACCAAGGCGACGAUCCGUAGCUGAUCNGAGAGGAUGAUCAGCCACACCUGGGACUGAGACACGGCCC